AAACCAAAAUGGCUUAGGCCAUUUGGUGAUGGGAGCCCAAUCUCAAGCUCAGUUCAACUUAUCCCCUGCCAAUUUGAUAUUCACACUCCUGAGUUUAAAAUUCAACAAAAAACAAUGCUACUAAAAGAAUAGGAGAAUUUCUUCCAACAUCCUCAUCCAUUUGUGGAUCCCAGUAGAAGAUAACCUUGUAUAUACCAAGUUAUCACUAUAUUUGCUAUUUUUGGUCAACGCCAGGUUAAACGUAACGUUAAAAAAUGAUAAAAGAAGAGGUAAAUUUGAUUUAAGCUCACUAGUUCUUAAUUUUUGGCUUCAGAAUAUAAUGGCUAGAAAGCAUUUACACAUAUUAGAACAAGCUAUGUAUAGCCUUACUCAUUAAAAAUUUGGAUCAAAGCAGGCAAAUAGUCUCUAUAUAGACAUUAAUUCCCUCAUGCUCAUCAGGCUCUACAUAUCUUUUCAUAUAACUGACCUAGUUCUCAUGAAUCCUCUUUUAUCAAAGCAGCCUCCAAAAUAUCAAAAGCACAAAUGAAAAAACCAACUUUGUUAACUUUUGAAGUAGUUCAAGCUGCUACAACUUCAUAUUUACUACAGUUGAUUCUAUCCAAGAAAACCCUGUUCCGUCUUUCAAAAUCUCUUUUCCACUAAUAUGCAGUUAGUUGGUCACUUUUGAAUGCAUAUCCAGAAAUAAUCCCCACAAUGAUAAUAAUAAUUUUUUUUUUAAAAAAAAAAACUCAUUUUAUUAUCACUGACUACCUUACUAGAUAUGAACUCAUUGGAAGAUCAGAAAUGCCGAAAACAGCUGUACAAUCCAAUAUGAGGGCAUCAUAAAAUAUUGCACCUAAAAGAAUUUACAAAAUACAAAUGUCUAAAUAUAGUUCCAAAAGAUGGAUCUAUAGAAUAUUAGAGCACCAAGCUGCCCACAUAACCAAGGUGACAAGAGUCCUUAAAAUACCAGACCUAUUUUUAUCAAUAAUAAUCUACUUCCUUAAGAGCCCAUUAUUUCCCAGUCUUAAUUCCCUCAAUAUCCACCCAACCCCAUGCAGAAAAAGGGGGAGGCCCUUAAUCUACCAUGGUAUCCACUUUUUGUAAUAAAGAAAAUUUCAUCUCAAAUAUACAUGCAAAAAACAGAACUAGACAUCUUAACAUACCAUACCUGAUGUCAUUGAAGAAUUCUCCCCUUCCCAAGGAACACAAACUCCUCUCCCCCCACCACCCCCAUGGUAUCCACUUUUUGUAAUAAAGAAAAUUUCAUCUCAAAUAUACAUGCAAAAAACAGAACUAGACAUCUUAACAUACCAUACCUGAUGUCAUUGAAGAAUUCUCCCCUUCCCAAGGAACACAAACUCCUCUCCCCCCACCACCC
Molecule: unclassified non-coding RNA, 1360 nt
Filed under: Hevea brasiliensis (rubber tree)
Lineage: Eukaryota; Viridiplantae; Streptophyta; Magnoliopsida; Malpighiales; Euphorbiaceae
Source: RNAcentral